GCAAGAUUAUAGAAGACACUGGUAUCAGUAUGAAUAGCACGAAAAAGAAGUUGCUCACCCUUGCCUACACAUAUGCCUUUCCCUGGAAGGAACCACACACACUGUUUCCAAUGGUCACACCAGUUCCCAGUGCUUGCUUUUGUUAUCCAUCGAGGGGCAGUGGAAUAAAAGAUUGUCCCUUCAUGAUCAAGCUGCAGCAUCCACCAUGAUAAUAUAGCAUGAACUCUACCAUCAUCAAUGGCCUUGAUGAGCAGCUCAGAUUCC
This 264-nucleotide unclassified non-coding RNA is filed under the name Hevea brasiliensis (rubber tree). Lineage: Eukaryota; Viridiplantae; Streptophyta; Magnoliopsida; Malpighiales; Euphorbiaceae. The record is from RNAcentral.